This 400-nucleotide ribosomal RNA is filed under the name uncultured bacterium. Its description in RNAcentral is "bacterial SSU rRNA". It matches the Rfam family "Bacterial small subunit ribosomal RNA", at positions 355 to 752 of the family's 1533-position model. The record is from RNAcentral.
UAAGGAAUAUUGGACAAUGGGCGAGAGCCUGAUCCAGCCAUCCCGCGUGCAGGAAGACUGCCCUAUGGGUUGUAAACUGCUUUUAUAAGGGAAGAACGGCUACGAUUUAUCGUGGUAUGACGGUACCUUAUGAAUAAGCACCGGCUAACUCCGUGCCAGCAGCCGCGGUAAUACGGAGGGUGCAAGCGUUAUCCGGAAUCACUGGGUUUAAAGGGUGCGUAGGCGGUUAUGUAAGUCAGGGGUGAAAGGUCACAGCUUAACUGUGAGAUUGCCUUUGAAACUGUGUAACUUGAAUCAGAUAGAGGUUAGUGGAAUGCGACAUGUAGCGGUGAAAUGCAUAGAUAUGUCGUGGAAUACCGAUUGCGAAGGCAGCUAACUGGGUCUUGAUUGACGCUGAGGC